Molecule: ribosomal RNA, 497 nt
Filed under: uncultured bacterium
Lineage: Bacteria
Description: partial 16S ribosomal RNA
Rfam family: Bacterial small subunit ribosomal RNA
Source: RNAcentral
GAUGAACGCUGGCGGCGUGCCUAAUACAUGCAAGUCGAGCGAACGGACGAGAAGCUUGCUUUUCUGAUGUUAGCGGCGGACGGGUGAGUAACACGUGGAUAACCUACCUAUAAGACUGGGAUAACUUCGGGAAACCGGAGCUAAUACCGGAUAAUAUUUUGAACCGCAUGGUUCAAAAGUGAAAGACGGUCUUGCUGUCACUUAUAGAUGGAUCCGCGCUGCAUUAGCUAGUUGGUAAGGUAACGGCUUACCAAGGCAACGAUGCAUAGCCGACCUGAGAGGGUGAUCGGCCACACUGGAACUGAGACACGGUCCAGACUCCUACGGGAGGCAGCAGUAGGGAAUCUUCCGCAAUGGGCGAAAGCCUGACGGAGCAACGCCGCGUGAGUGAUGAAGGUCUUCGGAUCGUAAAACUCUGUUAUUAGGGAAGAACUUAUGUGUAAGUAACUGUGCACAUCUUGACGGUACCUAAUCAGAAAGCCACGGCUAACUACGUG